This 258-nucleotide long non-coding RNA is filed under the name Struthio camelus australis. RNAcentral's name for it is "lncRNA (ENSSCUG00000000349.1)". The record is from RNAcentral. Lineage: Eukaryota; Metazoa; Chordata; Aves; Struthioniformes; Struthionidae.
CUCCCCACAGCUAGUCAGGGGUUGUGACCACAUCUAGAAGUGGCUUUCCAGACCUUAUUAAAGCUGCAGGAGCACAUGUGACUCUCAAAGCAGGAGUUCAGCAGCUCCAGAAGUGCCAAGGAUUGGAUCAGAGAGCAUAAAACCUAGGUUUUGGAGCUCGCACUGACAUCUGUGCUUCUUUCCAAACUCACGCUUCUGUGCACAGCUGAUCAGUGAAUCGGAGUUUGGCAGCAAGUUAUGCUGGCAGUAUCACCAGGC